GACGAACGCUGGCGGCGUGCUUAACACAUGCAAGUCGAGCGAGGCCCCUCCUUCGGGAGGGUGUCCUAGCGGCGAACGGGUGAGUAACACGUGGGCAACCUGCCCUCAGCUCUGGGAUAACUCCGGGAAACCGGGGCUAAUACCGGAUACGAUCUCCACGGGCAUCUGCGGAGGUGGAAAGUUUUUCGGCUGAGGAUGGGCCCGCGGCCUAUCAGCUAGUUGGUGGGGUAGUGGCCCACCAAGGCGACGACGGGUAGCCGGCCUGAGAGGGCGACCGGCCACACUGGGACUGAGACACGGCCCAGACUCCUACGGGAGGCAGCAGUGGGGAAUAUUGCGCAAUGGGCGAAAGCCUGACGCAGCGACGCCGCGUGAGGGACGAAGGCCUUCGGGUUGUAAACCUCUUUCAGCAGGGACGAAGCGAAAGUGACGGUACCUGCAGAAGAAGCACCGGCCAACUACGUG
Molecule: ribosomal RNA, 465 nt
Filed under: uncultured bacterium
Lineage: Bacteria
Description: partial 16S ribosomal RNA
Rfam family: Bacterial small subunit ribosomal RNA
Source: RNAcentral